GGGCCUGUAGCACAGUUGGUAGCGCGCCUCUAUGGCAUGGAGGAGGUCAGGGGUUCGAAUCCCCUCAGGUCCA
This 73-nucleotide transfer RNA is filed under the name Chloroflexota bacterium. RNAcentral describes it as "tRNA-Ala". It matches the Rfam family "tRNA". From Rfam's summary of the family: Transfer RNA (tRNA) molecules are approximately 80 nucleotides in length. Their secondary structure includes four short double-helical elements and three loops (D, anti-codon, and T loops). RNAcentral also lists the same sequence under 1 other name. The record is from RNAcentral. Lineage: Bacteria; Bacillati; Chloroflexota.